RNAcentral lists this ribosomal RNA (440 nucleotides) under uncultured bacterium. RNAcentral's name for it is "partial 16S ribosomal RNA". It matches the Rfam family "Bacterial small subunit ribosomal RNA", at positions 338 to 795 of the family's 1533-position model. The record is from RNAcentral.
CCUACGGGUGGCAGCAGUAGGGAAUAUUGCUCAAUGGGGGAAACCCUGAAGCAGCAACGCCGCGUGGAGGAUGAAGGUUUUCGGAUUGUAAACUCCUUUUGUUAGAGAAGAUAAUGACGGUAUCUAACGAAUAAGCACCGGCUAACUCCGUGCAAGCAGCCGCGGUAAUACGGAGGGUGCAAGCGUUACUCGGAAUCACUGGGCGUAAAGAGCGCGUAGGCGGGAUAGCAAGUCAGAUGUGAAAUCCUAUGGCUUAACCAUAGAACUGCAUUUGAAACUGUUAUUCUAGAGUAUGGGAGAGGUAGGUGGAAUUCUUGGUGUAGGGGUAAAAUGCGUAGAGAUCAAGAGGAAUACUGAUUGCGAAGGCGGCCUGCUAGAACAUAACUGACGCUGAUGCGCGAAAGCGUGGGGAGCAAACAGGAUUAGAUACCCCUGUAGUC